ACGGAGGGGGCUAGCGUUGUUCGGAAUUACUGGGCGUAAAGCGCGCGUAGGCGGAUGCGUAAGUUGGGAGUGAAAUCCCGAGGCUUAACCUCGGAACUGCUUUCAAAGCUGCACAACUAGAGUUCGGUAGAGGAGAGUGGAAUUCCUAGUGUAGAGGUGAAAUUCAUAGAUAUUAGGAGGAACAUCAGAGGCGAAGGCGACUCUCUGGGCCGAUACUGACGCUGAGGUGCGAAAGCGUGGGGAGCAAACAG
RNAcentral lists this ribosomal RNA (251 nucleotides) under uncultured prokaryote. RNAcentral describes it as "partial 16S ribosomal RNA". It matches the Rfam family "Bacterial small subunit ribosomal RNA", at positions 525 to 775 of the family's 1533-position model. The record is from RNAcentral.